This 253-nucleotide ribosomal RNA is filed under the name uncultured bacterium. Its description in RNAcentral is "partial 16S ribosomal RNA". It matches the Rfam family "Bacterial small subunit ribosomal RNA", at positions 524 to 776 of the family's 1533-position model. The record is from RNAcentral.
UACAGAGGGUGCAAGCGUUAAUCGGAGUUACUGGGCGUAAAGGGCGCGUAGGCGGUUAUACAAGUGAGAUGUGAAAGCCCUGGGCUUAACCUAGGAAUAGCAUUUCAAACGGUGUGACUAGAGGACAGUAGAGGGUGGUGGAAUUUCCGGUGUAGCGGUGAAAUGCGUAGAGAUCGGAAGGAACAUCAGUGGCGAAGGCGACCACCUGGACUGUAACUGACGCUGAGGCGCGAAAGCGUGGGGAGCAAACAGG